This 13066-nucleotide long non-coding RNA is filed under the name Capsicum annuum. RNAcentral describes it as "long non-coding RNA (CANN_LNC008045)". The record is from RNAcentral. Lineage: Eukaryota; Viridiplantae; Streptophyta; Magnoliopsida; Solanales; Solanaceae.
UAAAAAUAAUAAACAGAAGCAUAUUAGUAUAUGUAUGUGAAGAAAAGAUAAGAUUAUAUAAAGAAAGAUCGUUCCAAAGAAAAAACCUACGUAAUAUUUUUUAAUGUAAAAAGUAUAAAUUAUUUGAUUAAAUAAUCUAAGUCAAUCUAAUAUUUUUAUAUAAAUAUUAACGACUUAAAUUUUCCUAAACGCAUGGUGAAGAUUAAAUAAAAAAUAUCCCGCCCACCACCCCAAAAAAUAAAGUUUUCGCUAUGAUUAACAUUUGUACAAGUGAAAGAAUAUAAAAGUAUAAACACUCAAUUUAAAGUUUUCUUUAAAUGUCAUCCCGAUAAGUAUUCUCAAUCAUUUGUAUAAACACUUGUAAUAAAAAUGUCAAUAAUAAAUAAAUAAUAAUCAAAAUAAAAUGAAAAACUAUGGGUGCAUAUACAUAUUUAAAUAUAUAUUUUUUGUUAGUUAGUGGGCUCAGAUAAAGUUUUGAAAUAUUAUGAAGAUUUCGUCAUCGUCCAAAAAUAUUUAUUUUUUAUUACGUAUUUAUAUAUAUAAUGUCCUUCUUUUAUUUGGAAAGACCUCAAAAACUGACGGAGGUUUCCUCAUUGACCAUAUAUUUAUUUAUAUAAAAUAAAUAAAUUGAAAAGUAAAAUUAACUUUUGUAUUGGGGUGACCUUAAAUAUUCAAAUGGAGGGAUAAUUUUACUGGCCAUGUCUAUUUUUUACAAAGCAACAAGGGACAAAAUGUCUAAAAACAGUUCCUAAAUCAGUCUAAACAUAGCAAAAUAACUCAUCCAUUCAGUGCAUUUUCCGAAUGCAAAUCAACCCAAACAAUAAAAAAUAUAUUAGCACAUAUCAAUAAUGUUGAUGGCAAUAAAAGAAAAACAAAAACACAGGACAAUAAUAAAACAACAAAUCCAACAAGAGAAGACAAAUAUGAUAAUUAACUAUAAUAACCAGAGACAACAAAAAAAUCUCAGACAGUGAGGGUGUCGGCGUUGCUUCAACGGAAUCAUCGGAGCAACGCCGUAACAUAGAAAAGCGGCCAGAUCUGGCCAAAUUCUCAGUAAAUAGUGGCGGAAAAAGGAGGAAAAGGGAGGCGCGUCUGGCGGUUUCUGCUGGUGAGGUCGCCGGCAGAUCUGGUUCGGCUUUGGGUGGCAGAAAUAGUUGGAGCUUUGGUAGCUGUUGGCCGGAGUUGUUGUUGUCAGUGCCUGGACGGAUUUAUAGGGGAAAAGGGGUCGGCCGGGUGGUGGCUGGAAGCUCGCCGGUCGUCACCUCCGACGAACCAGCGUGCAGCAGCGGAGAUGGAAGGAAGAGAAAGACGUGAGAUAUAGAGAGAAAAUGAGAUAAAAAAUCUGAUGUUUUCUAUUUUGUGUGUUCAACAAUUGCCUCCUCCUCUUUUAUUUGUAAUAAAAAGAACCUUUUUUUUAUUAAAAAAAAAAAAAUUACCUCUUUAAUCACUAAAUAGUAUAUUACUAUUAAUCAAUAGUAUGUUACUAUUAAUCAAUAGUAUAUUCAAUUAAUCAUUUCAAUUGACAUCUUUUAAACAGUUGACAUGAUUUUAAUUUGAUUAAUUUAUUACUUUGUAUAUUAAAAUAAUUAAAUUGAUUCACUUUUGUAGGUCGUAUUAAAUAACUUAUAAAAUAAUAAAUAUCGAUGUAUAAUUAUAGAAAAAUAUAAACAACAAAUAAAAUAUAAUUAUCUUGAAAAAAUAUAUUAUGUUAUAAUAAUUAAAAUUAUACUGUGCAGUAAAAAAUUACAGUGUUGUGUUGUGUACGUAUUUAAUGAUUGUGUAAAAAUCUUAAAAUAAUAAUAAACUGAUAAAAAUUUACAAAAUUAAGGAUAAUUAUGUAAAAUUAAAAUAUGAUAAUAAAUUUGUAGAAAAUUCUAAAAUAAUGAUAAUUAUCAAUAACUUGUCGGAUAUGACAAAACAUUAUUGUGUGUUCCUUGUCAAAUGUGACAAAACAUUAAAUUAUUAUACUAUACAUGAAUAAUUGAUCCAACUCAGCGUUUGCAGAAUGUAAAAUAUAGAAAUUGAUUUGUAAUUAUGAAAAAAUAUAAAGGAUGUUGAAAAUAUCAAAAAAUAUAAUUAAUUUGAAAAUAUUAUAAAAAUAUGAUGUCAUGUCGUGCACGUAUGCAGACAAUUGUAAAAAUAUUGACUGAUAAAAAAUUUCAAUAUACAGAGAAUUAUCAAUAAAUUAUAAAAAGUAAGAAUAUAAAAGUAAAUUGAUAAAAUCUUAAAGUAAAGAGGAAUAUCAAUAAUUUAUUAACAAAUGUAAAAAAAAUACGUGAAAAUUGUAUUUUGUGCCCUUUAACGAUCAGAAAGCCUGAAGACAUUAAUUUUAAGCACGGAGAGCAAAAAUUGGGUGUCAACAGUUGCCUCUUUUUGUUUGAAGGCGAUGUAGAAGUUUCAAAACGAAAAUAUUGACGUGUAGCCAAUUUUGCUCGAUAAAAAAUAAUUUUGAUAAAAAUUCAACCGAACUUCAAUUUAGAGCUGCCUACAUACCUCGAGUUGUAUGAGGAUCAGGUCGGGUGUAAUUCGAAAGAAUAGGCAAUUACCUCCUGCCUUGUUAUUAAGGGUGGAUGACCAUGUAGAAUGAUUAUUGAGAGACGAACUAUUUGGAAACAGAAGUGUUUAUCUAUUUCCAAUGUCCCUUUUAAAAUUGUCCAGUAUCGAGCUGUGAGAUGUUGUGGAUGCAGGAUUGUGUACUUGCUGGGGAGAAAGAAUGAUUAGGGGAUUAUGAUGACCGAACUCUGCAUAGAGCUUCCUACAUAUCUCAAGUGUCGCGAGAAUCAGGUCAAUAUAGUUCCAGAUGAGAAAGUAGAAAAUUUUGAAGCAGUUCUCAAAAUUUGCCUCAGUGUAUGAUGUAUGGGUUUUAAAAAAAUAUCUUUUGUUUUGAAUUAUAUUUCUGGUUUAACAUAUGGAUGAUGUCUCCGAUUAUUUGCGGAGACUUGAGGAUGAAUGACGCCUCCGAUUGUUUACGGGGACUUAUGUGAUAAAUGAAAGAUGUCUUUGAUUGUAUACGAAGAAUUGAUGCAUCACAUCUCUAAUUAUUUAUGAAUAUUGAUGUUGAUCGUCAUCUUCAAUUGUCUACGAAGACCGUGUGAUGAAUGAUGAUGUCUUCGAUUAUUUACGAAGACUUGAUCAUGACACCUCCAAUUGUCUAUGGAGGCUGAUGUUGCUUGUUGUCUCCGAUUGUCUACGGAGACUAAUGUGAGUGACAUCUCCAGUUGUCUAUGGAGACUGAUGUUGAUCGUUAUCUUCGAUUAUCUACGGAGACUGUGUAAUGAAUGAUAAUGUCUUCGAUUAUUUACGAAGACUUAAUGCAUGACACCUCAAAUUAUCUAUGGAGAUUGGUAUGAAUUAUCGUCUCCUAUUGUCUACAGAGACUGAUGUGAUGAAUGAUGUUGUCUUCUAUUAACUAUGAAGACUUGAUGCAUGACAUCUCCAAUUGUCUAUGGAGACUGAUGUUGAUUGAGGUGUCUUCAGUUAUCUACGAAGAUUUGAUAACAUCUCCAAGUGUUUAUGGAGACGGAUGUUGAAUGGUGAUGUCUUCGAUUGUCUAUGGAGACUGAUGUUGAUUGUUGUCUCCGAUUGUCUACGAAGUCUAAUGUGAAUGGCAUCUCCAAUUGUCUAUGAAGGUUGAUGUUAAUUGCCGUCUCCGAUUAUCUAUGAAGACUAAUGUAAUGAAUGAUGAUAUCUUUGAUUGUUUACGAAGACCUGUAUGAUAUCUUCAAUUAUCUAUGGAGACUGAUGUAUGACGCCUCUGAUUGUCUACGAAGACUAUGUGAUGAAUGUUGUCUUCGAUUGUCUACGAAAAUUAUGCCAUGAAUAUUGUCUUUAAUUGUAUACGAAGACUAUGUACGAUAUCUCCGAUUGUCUAUGAAAACUUGAUGAUAAAAUGACAUCUCUGAUUGUCUACAGAGACUAUGUAAUGAAUGUUGUCUUCGAUUGUCUGUGAAGAUUAUGUUGAUAUCUCCAAUUGUCUAUGAAGAGUGAUGAUAAAAUGAUGUCUCUGAUUGUCUAUAGAGACUAUGUAAUGAAUGAUGUCUCCGAUUGUCUAUGAAGACUAUGUCAUAAAUAUUGUCUUCGAUUGUAUAUGAAGACUAUGUACGGUAUCUCUAAUUGUCUAUGGAGACUUAAUGAUAAAAUGAUGUCUUUGAUUAUCUACAUAGACUAUGUAAUGAAUGUUGUCUUCGAUUGUCUACGAAAACUAUGUUGACCGUUGUCUUCGAUUAUUUAUGAAGACUGAGGCCAUCAACUAGUGAGGUGACUGAAAUCUAAUAGCCCUAUCAACUAGUGAGGCUAUUGAUGUGUAAAAAAUUCUCGACUUGGGAGAGAAAGAAAAAAAAUAUAAUAGCCUCUCGAGUGACGGGGCUAUAAAGAAUAAUACUCAAAGAUGAGCGCCUAACUGAAAAAUAAAAUGUUUAUAUUUAAAGGUAUGUGCUUGAAAGAAAAAAGGAAAACAUCCAUAUUUGAAAAUUAAAAGCCUUAAAUAAAAAGUAAAAAAUGCAUGCAUGUAAAAGUGGAUGUCUUGAAAAGUAAAGAAAUGUAUGUAUGUGAAAAUGAGGUCUUGAAUGAAAAGUAAAGAAAUGUCUGUAUGUGAAAAGAGGUGUCUUGAAUGGAAGGUAAGAAAAUGCCCAUAUGCGAAAGUGGGCUUCUUGAAAAAAAAAAGUAUUUUCUUGAUAAAAGUGUUGAAACUUGAAGAAUGCAUGGUUAUGUCUUAACUUCGAUUGAUACCAAUAAUUAGUAGUGUGUAUAAGAAUUUCCCAUUUCUUUCCCAACUGACUGAGAUCGACUUCAGGGUAACUCAUAUAGUUUCAAGUGGUACCUCAAACAUACCUAAGUAUCAAUAAGAUUUAUUUAUCUUGCUUCAAAUAAAGGUUUCGUGAUACUAUACCUGGCCUCAUGUUUCAAGUGCCCUCUCCAGAAAGAAAGUCUCAUUUCACACAUAUUUGAGUAAUUUUUUUUAUUUGGGGACGUCGAGAAAAAUACAAUCAUACUCGAAAGGAAAUUCAAUACAUGCAGUUGUGAUACUAUAGGCCUGAUCUUCAUGUAAGUAUACACUAAUGUGAGAACACUUGAAAUAGGAUCAUGUAGGACUUUUUAUUGGCUUAUAAUGUAGGCUUGGGGACGGGUAGGAUGAUAUUUGGGAUAAAAGUGACUAAUUCCUCAAUAAUUAUUACAUUGCAUUUGUGCUUUCUACAUUUAUUAUAUUUUGGCGCGUGAUUUUUCUUUGUUGUGCUUCGUUGUCUCUUGUUUUUGUAUUUGCUUCGACUUCUUUUGAAUCGUGUAUUGAAGUUUCCCCCUUUUUUUUUAAGAUACUAUAUUUAUUUUUUAUUUUUUUUGGUGUGUGGGGGUUUUGCUUCUUUUGAAGUCUUUUUUUUUUCAAUUUUGUUCAUCUAGGAUAAUAUAUCCUUUGCGUUUUGCAUCUUUGAUCUUAAAUCUCUGUCCAUAAUUUGCAUGUAUUUAGUGCGCUCAAGGAGGUAGGGCCAAGAGAGGGAUAGUGCAUGUAAGCACUCAAAAAGGUAUAGGUGCAGAUGCGGUUGUCUAAAGAAAAGGUUUAGGCUCAAAAGAGGAAAUGCUAGGGGUUAAUGUCGUUUGGUGGGCUAUGAAAGGCUCAAUCGGGUCAAAGAAGGCCUAUGAUCAUUUUCUAAACUAAGUGAAACUUAGAAUUUCACCUCAACAGACAUUUAAGACAAGUUCUAGAUCAACAAUGCAAUGCAAUGAAUUAAACUAAAGCUCACCUCACAAUGCACAUGAGACGAUGAGGCAGGCUUCAUUCUUGUCUUGAAUGUAUGCAGGAGAAUUUUCAAGUGUUACUCGGGUAUGAUGAAGGGUAUCAAAAGAAUCUAUGGUUUACCAUGAAAUCAAUUAUUUACAUCAUACCAAAUCAUUCUUUCUCAUGCACAUUCCUAACUGUUUCCGUGUCAAUCAAAUCAAUUUUUUUUUAAAGAAUGGGAUCGAACCCAAAUGAGGGUUGCCUACGUAUCUUGUGAAAACAAGAAUCAGGUCUGCGUAGUUCAGCAAAAUUUGUGAAUUUGUAUAUGAAUGUAUGAUUGUAAAAAAAAUGAUGGCCAUUCUCGAAAAAAAAUGAUGGUCAUUCUCGAAAAUAAUAUGAAAGACGAUCAGGAAUUAUUUUUUUUAACAUAAAAAAUUAUUCUGAUCAAAUGAUCGAGAGAAUGAAUGUCAUGUAUAGGGAGAGCUUUGACACAACUUCAGUAUGCUGACAAGAUUGAAAAGUCAGACAUUGAAGAAAUUAUGACAUUAUUUCACCACAGUUGGCGAGAUUAUUAUAAUUGAAAAAAAUAUUAAAUUCUUAUUUUAGAGAGUGAGGAUCAAUAAGUUAUAAAUUUAAUAGUUCACGACGUUCGAAAAAAAAACUAGGUAAAAUUGAGUAAAGAUCUGAAGAUAGGCCGGCUAGGCACUAAUUCAAUGAGAUUUGGAUUUGAUGAGCUAUUAAUUUGCGCUCUUGAAGGCUUUUGAAGAGCGUCUUUGAACUGUUCUAAAAAAUUGCCCCAGUUUUGAAUACCGAAGAAAUUAUUCUAAAAGUUAGAGUCUGAACCCUAAUGCAGGGUUGCCUACGUAUCUUGUUAGGACAAGAAUCAGGUUAAAACGUAGUUCAAACAAUUUAUGAGUUUGUACAUUACGUGAUUUAUUUCCAGAAUAGAAACUUUCCUAAAUGGUUGAGAGUAGGACUGAAUGAUUGAAAGAAGGCUCAAUAACUGAAAUGCGUCGAUUCUGAAACUAUAGAAUUUAAAAAAGAUUUAGAGGAGUGUGAAACACCCCCCACGUGAACCACAAUGUGUGAGUGUAUGGCCAAAAACUCGAUGAAAUUGUGAUUUAUGAUCAAAUAAAAUAAAGAAUAAUGUGUAACUGUUUUAACAAUAUACAGAUACAGUGUAUUAAAUAAAUAAUUAACAAAAAAAUUGAUAAGGCAACAAAAUUAAUUUGCGCAAAUAAUGUAAAGAAUUCAUGAAAAAGUCUACACAAUUUGCAAUAUGAAACAGAUAAAGAAUCAAAGAAUUAAUAUAUGCAAAAAAUGUAAAAAUACCUCCCUCAAUUGAAAAAUUGAGUCGACCAUGGUUAGAACUUGUUGUUCAUCCCCAGCGGAGUCGUCAUUUUAUCAUGCCCUAUUUUCGCCAAGGUAAACACGUACGACUUAUGGACUCUAAAUGAAUUGAUUUUAUUACAGAGUCGCCACCUAAUUUUAAAGAAAAAUAAGGAAACCUAUUGAAUUAUUAACAUGUGCGAUUUUAUGUUUCAGUCUGCAAAAUUCAAUUGAGAUUCUAGGUAAGAGUUUAAAUUAUCCCGAAGGGAAGGGGUUAGGCACCCUUCAGGAUACACAAAUGUGGUAACCAGCUAAACUAAAUUUAUCAAAAAGAGAGAAGGUAUAUUGAAAAUAAUGUAAAAAUGUAUGUAUUAAAUAUAAAAUAAUUCUUUUAAAAAAAUAUAAAUAUUUUAAAACUAUGUAAAGGUAUAUGUAUAUUAAAUAUAUGAAUAGAAUAAAUUAUUAUAAAAUAUGUAAAGGACAUGUAUAAAAAUGUAUAAAUAAAUGUGAAAAGGAAAAGUACUUUAUAAUGUAUGAAAAACAGUGGCGGACCCAGGAUUUAAGGAGAGUGAGUGCUUACUAUAGAAAAAAAUAAAAAAUUACCUCAACCAGGUUUGAACCCGAGCACACCUACCAAUGGAGAGCCUUAAGAUCAACUUAAAUGACAAUGCACCUAACCAAUUUCUUGUUUAGCGGGUGCUUUUAUAUAAUUUAUAACCAUUUUUGUAUAUUUUUUAUGUAAUUAUACCUAUUCUACGUUGAGUUUAGUGGGUGUUGGAGCACCCAAAAUUUAUGUGUAGGUCCGCCCCUGAUGAAAAAGAAAUGUAUUUUGAUAUGCCAUGAAAAGAAAAAGUAUUUACCGAUAAUAUUUUUUAUCUGAUUAAAAUUAAGAAAAAAAGUAAAAUUUAUUUGAUAUGAAAAGACUAUAUAGUAUAUGAAUUACUUGAUUAACUUGAUUAUUUUAUGUAAUUGCAUCAAAAUAACAUAUAUGAUUUGUCGUAAAAAGUAUAAACAAAAGUAUAUCAGUAUAUGUAUGUAAAGAAAAGAAAAGAUUAUAUAAAGAAAAAUUGUUUCAAAGAAAAAACAUACGUAAUAUUUUUUAAUGUAAAAAGUAUAAAUUCUUUGAUUAAAUAAUCUAAGUCAAUCAAAUAUUUUUAUAUAAAUAUUAACAAUCUAAAUUUGCCUAAACGCGUGGUGAAGAUUGAAUAAAGAAUAUCCCGCCCAACACAAAAAAAAAUUAAAGUUUCCACUAUGAUUAACAUUUGUACAAGUGAAAGAAUAUAAAAAUAUAAAUACUCAAUUUAAAGUCUUCUUUAAAUGUCAUCCCGACAAGUAUUCCCACUAACCUGUAUAAACACUUGUAAUAAAAAUGUCAGUAACAAAUAAAUAAUAAUCAAAAUAAAAUAAAAAAAUAUGUGUGCAUAUACAUAUUUAAAAGUAUAUUUUUUGUUAGUUAGUGACUCAGAUAAAGUUUUAAAAUAUUAUAAAGAUUUCGUUAUCGUCUAAAAAUAUUUAUUUUUUAUUACGUAUUUGUAUAUGUAAUGUCUGUCUUUUAUUUGGGAAGGCCUCGAAAACUGAUGGAAGUUUCUUCAUUGGCCAUGUUUCUAUUUAUAUAAAAUAAAUAACUAAAAAAAAAGUUUCAUCUUUUGUAUUAGGGUGACUUCAAAUAUCCAGAUGGAGAGAUAAUUUUAUUGGCCAUGUCUAUUUUUUGCAAAGCAACAAGGGACAAAAUGUCUAAAAAUAGUCCCAAAAUCAGUCUAAACAUAGCGAAAUAACUCAUCCAUUCAGUGCAUUUUUCUGAUGCAAAUCAACCCAAACAGUAAAAAAUAUACGAAAAAGGCUCAAAAAUAUUCCUGAACUAUCUAAAAUAGGUCAAAAAUACUCCUCGUUAGAUUUUUGGCUCAAAAAUAUCCCUUCGUUAAAUAUUUGGCUCAAAAAUAACCCUCCCUCUAACGGAAUUCGAAAAAGGAUAAAAAGUACUCCUGAACUAUCUGAAAUUGAUCUAAAAUACCCCUCAUUAGUUUUUUGGCUAAAAAAUAUCCCUCUGUUAAAUAUUUGGCUAAAAAAAUACUCCUCUCCUUAACGAAAUUCCACCAAGCAUACCACCUAGAUAAAAAAAAAUACGUGGUCAUGCCACAUUACCAUCCACAUGUAAAAUGUUAUAUUUUUUAAUUAUAUGACAUUAUUCCUUUCUUUUUUAUUUUUAUUUAUAUUUAUAUUUUUUUGCAAAGCAAUUUUAUUGAUCUGGAAAAAAAUAUGAUCAGUAAAAUUAAAAAUUUCUAAAAAUAUUUAAAUAAAAUCAAUCAGUGUUUUUACUGAAUUUAAUUUAACGUUUUUGGAAUUACUAGACAUUGGGAAGGUACUAAAUAAAUUUUGUUAAAGGAGUACAAAGUAUUCGUUUUUUUUUCAUUAUAUGAUAAACUUUUUACUUUGAUUAUUAAAGAAAAUGAUAUCCAUGUUUUUCUAAUGAUUAAAAUAUAUUAAAUGUCAUUUACUUUUCUGGAAGUGAAAUUUUAAAAAAUUCUAAGAAUACUAACAUAAAUUUAGAAAAACUAUCAACAUUCAUUGAGUUUAGAAAAAAUAAAUCACCAUCACUGAAUGUAAUCUUUUUAUUUAACUCUUUCAUCAAGAAGAAAGGAAUGUCAUAUAAUUAAAAAAUACUAACAUUUUACAUGUGACUGGUAAUGUGGCAUAAUUACGUGAUUUUUUAUACGAAAAAGGCUAAAAAAUAUUUUGACUUUGAUGAUCCUAAUGGGAUUAGGUCGAUCUUAUCUUUUAGGGAAUCCUUGGUGCAACAGUGAAGUUGUAGCCAUGUGAUCAGGAGAUCAUAUGGUUCGAACUCCUAAUCACAAAAACCACCUCUUUUGUAUAGUUGUGACUUAUGAGGUGAAGUCGUGUAUUUAUAUGAUAUGUUUCGUCCCUAGUCCCUGUUCAUAGUUAAAGCCUUUAACUAACAAUUCUCAUCUCAACGUUUGUUCUAUGUUUUGUUAUAACUACUUCAGUGGUAAUAUUAAAACUAUAGUUACAAUCUACAAUGUAUUUAUAAUUUACUCAGAAUGCUAUUGCGCUGCUGCUUCAUGUGUUAAACUUUAAUGUUCAAGAAAUUUUAGAGGUCGAUAUAAUAAGUUGGCUAACUUUUUUCGGUGAAGUGAAAUAAUUUCUUUCUACUAUUAUUCAUUCCGUACGUAUGAUUAGAUUUUGAAUUUCAUUAGGAAGUACUACAACGAAUAAUGCAUCAAGGUAUUUUUGAGACUUUGCCGUAAAAAAAAAUCACGUUAUGCCACAUUAUAAUCCACAUGUAAAAUAUUAGUAUUUUUUAAUUAGGCCAAAGUUAUCGAUAGACACUCAAACUUGUUGCCAAAAUUCAUUCAGACACCUAAACUAAGGCCUGUUUCUAUCAGACCCCUAACCCCUCUCCCCUCCAUUUUAUUCCAAUUGGGCCUUUUUUACCCUACCAGCAAAAAACUCAAAGUGUGUGUUACGCACACGCGAUAACGUGGUAAAAUGAGCUAAUUGAAACCUGACACGUGACAUUGUGAGUUCAAUAAUUAAUAAAAAUUAAUUAUAAUUUUUUUAAAAAAAGUAUAUACAAAUGGCAUUGAGGAAAUUAUUAAAAAAUAAUUCUAAAAUUAUUUAAAAAAUAAAAAAAUAGAUUAUUUAAAAAAAUUAUAAAUUAUUUUAAAAAAUGAAAUAGAUUAUUUAAAAAAUAUUUUUUAAAAAAAUUAAUUAUUAAGAAAAAUUAUAAAUUUUUUUAAAAAAUGAAAAUAAACAAUGGCUAGGAUAUAAAUUAUAAAAAAAUAAUUAUAAGAUUAUUUAAAAAAUAAAAAUAAAAAAAUAAUUAUUUAAAAAAAUUAUAAAAUUUUUUAAAAAAUGAAAUAAAUUAUUAAAAAAUUAUUNNNNNNNNNNNNNNNNNNNNNNNNNNNNNNNNNNNNNNNNNNNNNNNNNNNNNNNNNNNNNNNNNNNNNNNNNNNNNNNNNNNNNNNNNNNNNNNNNNNNNNNNNNNNNNNNNNNNNNNNNNNNNNNNNNNNNNNNNNNNNNNNNNNNNNNNNNNNNNNNNNNNNNNNNNNNNNNNNNNNNNNNNNNNNNNNNNNNNNNNNNNNNNNNNNNNNNNACAAUUAUUAAAAAGAAAUUAUAAAAUUUUUUAAAAAAUAAAAAUAAAACUCCCUCACCUACCCCGAGCCCCCAACGUAUUGUAUUAUUAAAAAAUAAAAAUUGAAACCCCCUAAUGCUUUUUUGCCUAAUUAUAAAAAAGAAAUCAUAAAAUAUUUAAAAAAUAAAAAACUAAUUAUUAAAAAAAAAUUAUAAUUUGUUUUUAAAAAUAAAAUAAAACUCCUCUAUCUACCCUAUCCAUAGGGUAUUGUUUCAUCAAAAACCAAAAAUUGAGACCUCCUAAUACUUUUUGUUUUAUUAAAAAGGGUCUUUAGUGUUUUAAAAAACAAAAUUGUUAUUAAAAAAAAAUUUUUAGAUCCUUCAAUGCCACUUGUCAUCUUUUUAUUUAUAAAUUAAUAAAAAAAAUAUUCAUCACGCGCUUCUCACGAUGACACCAUAUGCGCAAUGCCACAUAAACAAAAAAGGUUCAAUUGGAACAUAAUGUGAGGCUAUAAGUCUUAAUUCAGAUGGUGACACCAUAUGCGCAAUGCCACAUAGACAAAAAAGGUUCAAUUGAAACAUAAUGUGAGGCUAUAAGUCUUAAUUUAGGUGUCUAGCAAUAAAUUUGAAUGUCUAUUAAUGACUGAACUUUAAAUUAUAUGACAUUUCUUUCUUCUUAAUAAAAGAGUUAAAUAAAAGAAUUAUAUUUAGUAAUGUUGAUUUAUUUUUUUUGAACUUAAUAAAUAUUGAUAGUUUUUCUAAUUUUAUGUUUAAUCAAGAAAAGUAAAUAACAUUUAAUAUAUUUUAAUCAUUAGUAAAACAUGAAUAUAAUUUUUUUCAAUAAUCUAAGUGAAAAAUUUAUCAUAUAAUAAAAAAAAUUGAAUAAUUUAUAUUACUUUAAUAAAAUUUAUUUAGUAUCUUUUCAAUGUCAAGAAAUUCAAAAAAUGUUAAACUUAAUCCAGUAAAAUUGAUUUAUUUUUAAAAUUUUUUAAUUUUACUGAUUAUAUUUUUUUUCAAAUCAAUAAAAUUGCUUUGUAAAAAAAAAAAAGUCAUAUAAUUAAAAAUAUUCUUCUAUUAAAUAUUUGACUCAAAAAUACUUUUUUUUUUAUCCAUUUCAGAUAGUUUAGCGAUAUUUUUGAUUUUUUUUUAAUUUUGUUAGAGGAAGAGAUAUUUUUUAGCCAAAUAUUCAAUAAAAAACAGUUCAUGAGUAUUUUUAAGCAUUUUCCGAAAAAUAUAUUAGCAACAUGUCAAUGAUGUUGAUGGCAGUAAAACAAAAACAAAAACACAGUUCAGGAGUAUUUUUAAGCAUUUUUCAAAAAAUAUAUUAGCAACGUAUCAAUAAUGUUGAUGGCAGUAAAACAAAAACAAAAACAAAAACACAGUACAAUAAUAAAACAACAGAUCCAGCAAGAGAAGACAAAUAUGAUAAUUAACUAUAAUAACCAGAGACAACAAAAAAUCUUAGACAGUGAGGCUGUCGGCGUUGCUUCAACGGCAAUCAUCGGAGCAACGCCAGAAAAUAGAAAAGCGGCCAGAUCUGGCCAAUUUCUCAGUAAAUAGUGGCGGAAAAAGGAAGAAAAGGGAGGCGCGUCUGGCGGUUUCUUCUGGUGAGGUCGCCGGCAGAUCUGGUUCGGCUUUGGGUGGCAGAAAUAGUUGGAGUUUUGAUAGCUGUUGGCCGGAGUUGUUAUUGUCAGUGCCUGGAUGGAGUUAAGAGGGGAAAAGGGAUCGGCCGGUUGGUUGCUGGAAGCUCACCGGUCGUCACCUCCGGCGAACCAGCGUGUAGCAGCGGAGAUGGAAGGGAGAGAAAGACGUGAGAUAAAGAGAGAGAAUGAGAUAAAAAAUCUGAUGUUUUCUAUUUUGUGUCUUUAACAAUUGCCUCCUCCUCCUUUAUUUAUAAUAAAAAGAACCUCCUUUUUUUAUUAAAAAAAUAAAAAAUUA